UACGGAGGGUGCAAACGUUGCUCGGAAUCAUUGGGCGUAAAGCGCACGUAGGCGGCGCGUUAAGUCGGGUGUGAAAGCCCUGGGCUCAACCCAGGAAGUGCAUUCGAAACUGGCGCGCUUGAAUAUGGAAGAGGGUCGCGGAAUUCCCGGUGUAGAGGUGAAAUUCGUAGAUAUCGGGAGGAACACCAAUGGCGAAGGCGGCGACCUGGGCCAAUAUUGACGCUGAGGUGCGAAAGCGUGGGGAGCAAACGGG
Molecule: ribosomal RNA, 253 nt
Filed under: uncultured bacterium
Lineage: Bacteria
Description: partial 16S ribosomal RNA
Rfam family: Bacterial small subunit ribosomal RNA
Source: RNAcentral